GAUGAACGCUGGCGGCGUGCCUAAUACAUGCAAGUCGAGCGAACGGACGAGAAGCUUGCUUCUCUGAUGUUAGCGGCGGACGGGUGAGUAACAAGUGGAUAACCUACCUAUAAGACUGGGAUAACUUCGGGAAACAGUAGCUAAUACCGGAUAAUAUUUUGAACCGCAUGGUUCAAAAGUGAAAGACGGUCUUGCUGUCACUUAUAGAUGGAUCCGCGCUGCAUUAGCUAGUUGGUAAGGUAACGGCUUACCAAGGCAACGAUGCAUAGCCGACCUGAGAGGGUGAUCGGCCACACUGGAACUGAGACACGGUCCAGACUCCUACGGGAGGCAGCAGUAGGGAAUCUUCCGCAAUGGGCGAAAGCCUGACGGAGCAACGCCGCGUGAGUGAUGAAGGUCUUCGGAUCGUAAAACUCUGUUAUUAGGGAAGAACAUAUGUGUAAGUAACUGUGCACAUCUUGACGGUACCUAAUCAGAAAGCCACGGCUAACUACGUG
This 497-nucleotide ribosomal RNA is filed under the name uncultured bacterium. RNAcentral's name for it is "partial 16S ribosomal RNA". It matches the Rfam family "Bacterial small subunit ribosomal RNA", at positions 28 to 507 of the family's 1533-position model. The record is from RNAcentral.